AUUGAACGCUGGCGGCAGGCCUAACACAUGCAAGUCGAGCGGAUGAAGGGAGCUUGCUCCUGGAUUCAGCGGCGGACGGGUGAGUAAUGCCUAGGAAUCUGCCUGGGAGUGGGGGAUAACGUCCGGAAACGGGCGCUAAUACCGCAUACGUCCUGAGGGAGAAAGUGGGGGAUCUUCGGACCUCACGCUAUCAGAUGAGCCUAGGUCGGAUUAGCUAGUUGGUGGGGUAAAGGCCUACCAAGGCGACGAUCCGUAACUGGUCUGAGAGGAUGAUCAGUCACACUGGAACUGAGACACGGUCCAGACUCCUACGGGAGGCAGCAGUGGGGAAUAUUGGGCGAUGGGCGAAAGCCUGAUACAGCCAUGCCGCGUGUGUGAAGAAGGUGUUCGGAUUGUAAAGCACUUUAAGUUGGGGGGAAGGGCAGUAAGUUAAUACCUUGCUGUUUUGACGUUACCAACAGAAUAAGCACCGGCUAACUUCGUG
This 484-nucleotide ribosomal RNA is filed under the name uncultured bacterium. RNAcentral's name for it is "partial 16S ribosomal RNA". It matches the Rfam family "Bacterial small subunit ribosomal RNA", at positions 30 to 507 of the family's 1533-position model. The record is from RNAcentral.